RNAcentral lists this ribosomal RNA (1457 nucleotides) under uncultured bacterium. RNAcentral describes it as "bacterial SSU rRNA". It matches the Rfam family "Bacterial small subunit ribosomal RNA". The record is from RNAcentral.
UAGAGUUUGAUCCUGGCUCAGAAUGAACGCUGGCGGCGUGCUUAACACAUGCAAGUCGAACGAUGAAGCCUAGCUUGCUAGGUGGAUUAGUGGCGCACGGGUGAGUAAUAUAUAGGUAACGUGCCUCUUAGUCUGGGAUAGCCAUUGGAAACGAUGAUUAAUACUGGAUACUCCUUCUAACUCUAAUGUUAGUCGGGAAAGUUUUUCGCUAAGAGAUCGGCCUAUUUCCCAUCAGCUUGUUGGUAGUGUAAGAGACUACCAAGGCUAUGACGGGUAGCGGGUUUGAGAGGAUGAUCCGCCACACUGGUACUGAGACACGGACCAGACUCCUACGGGAGGCAGCAGUGAGGAAUAUUGCACAAUGGAGGAAACUCUGAUGCAGCAACGCCGCGUGGAGGAUGACGCAUUUCGGUGUGUAAACUCCUUUUAUGAGUCAAGAAAAUGACGGUAGCUCAUGAAUAAGCACCGGCUAACUCCGUGCCAGCAGCCGCGGUAAUACGGAGGGUGCAAGCGUUAUUCGGAAUCACUGGGCGUAAAGGACGCGUAGGCGGGAAGCCAAGUCUGAUGUGAAAUCCUAUGGCUCAACCAUAGAACUGCAUUGGAAACUGGUUACCUAGAGUAUGGGAGGGGGAGAUGGAAUUAGUGGUGUAGGGGUAAAAUCCGUAGAUAUCACUAGGAAUACCGAAAGGGAAGGCGAUCUCCUGGAACAAUACUGACGGUAAGGCGUGAAAGCGUGGGGAGCAAACGGGAUUAGAUACCCUGGUAGUCCACGCCGUAAACGAUGGACACUAGUUGUUGGAUUAUUUCAGUGACUAAGCGAAAGUGAUAAGUGUCCCACCUGGGGAGUACGAUCGCAAGAUUGAAACUCAAAGGAAUUGACGGGGGCCCGCACAAGCGGUGGAGCAUGUGGUUUAAUUCGAUGAUACGCGAGGAACCUUACCAGGGCUUAAAUGUAAGUUGCAUUAUUCAGAGAUGGAUAUUUCUUCGGACUACUUACAAGGUGCUGCAUGGUUGUCGUCAGCUCGUGCCGUGAGGUGUCAGGUUAAGUCCUAUAACGAGCGCAACCCCUAUCGUUAGUUGCUAGCAGGUCAUGCUGAGGACUCUAACGAGACUGCCGGUGCAAACCGUGAGGAAGGUGGGGAUGACGUCAAAUCAUCACGGCCCUUACGUCCUGGGCUACACACGUGCUACAAUGGUAUAUACAGAGAGCAGCCAUCUGGUGACAGAGAGCGAAUCUAUAAAGUAUAUCACAGUCCGGAUCGGAGUCUGCAACUCGACUCCGUGAAGUCGGAAUCGCUAGUAAUCGUAGAUCAGCCAUGAUGCGGUGAAUACGUUCCCGGGCCUUGUACACACCGCCCGUCAAGCCAUGGAAGCUGGGAGUACCUGAAGUCGGUGACCGCAAGGAGCUGCCUAGGGUAAAAGCUGGUAACUAGGGCUAAGUCGUAACAAGGUAACCA